GCCGGGCGCGGUGGCGCGUGCCUGUAGUCCCAGCUACUCGGGAGGCUGAGGUGGGAGGAUCGCUUGAGCCCAGGAGUUCUGGGCUGUAGUGCGCUAUGCCGAUCGGGUGUCCGCACUAAGUUCGGCAUCAAUAUGGUGACCUCCCGGGAGCGGGGGACCACCAGGUUGCCUAAGGAGGGGUGAACCGGCCCAGGUCGGAAACGGAGCAGGUCAAAACUCCCGUGCUGAUCAGUAGUGGGAUCGCGCCUGUGAAUAGCCACUGCACUCCAGCCUGAGCAACAUAGCGAGACCCCGUCUCUUU
This 301-nucleotide signal recognition particle RNA is filed under the name Pongo abelii (Sumatran orangutan). Its description in RNAcentral is "Metazoan signal recognition particle RNA". It matches the Rfam family "Metazoan signal recognition particle RNA". From Rfam's summary of the family: The signal recognition particle (SRP) is a universally conserved ribonucleoprotein. It is involved in the co-translational targeting of proteins to membranes. The eukaryotic SRP consists of a 300-nucleotide 7S RNA and six proteins: SRPs 72, 68, 54, 19, 14, and 9. The record is from Rfam by way of RNAcentral. Lineage: Eukaryota; Metazoa; Chordata; Mammalia; Primates; Hominidae.